AUUCUCAGGCGCUUGAGAGAACCCAGGUGAAGGAACUCGGCAAAUUAGCACCGUAACUUCGGGAGAAGGUGCGCCCCGGUAGAUUGUAGUGGCUUGCCCACGAAGGUCGAUGGGGUUGCAGUGAAAAGGUGGCUGCGACUGUUUAACAAAAACACAGCACUCUGCAAACACGAAAGUGGACGUAUAGGGUGUGACUCCUGCCCGGUGCCGGAAGGUUAAUUGAUGGGGUGCAAGCUCUUGAUCGAAGCCCCGGUAAACGGCGGCCGUAACAAUAACGGUCCUAAGGUAGCGAAAUUCCUUGUCGGGUAAGUUCCGACCCGCACGAAUGGAGUAACGAUGGCCACACUGUCUCCACCUGGGACUCAGCGAAAUUGAAAUGGUUGUGAAGAUGCAAUCUACCCGCGGCUAGACGGAAAGACCCCGUGCACCUUUACUGUAGCUUUACAUUGGACUUUGACAAGACGUGUGUAGGAUAGGUGGGAGACUAUGAAGUGGGAACGCUAGUUCUCAUGGAGUCAACCUUGAAAUACCACCCUCGUGUUGUUGAGGUUCUAACCUUGGUCCAUCAUCUGGAUUGGGGACAGUGUAUGGUAGGCAGUUUGACUGGGGCGGUCUCCUCCCAAAGAGUAACGGAGGAGUUCGAAGGUAUCCUAGAUACGGUCGGAAAUCGUAUUGAUAGUGCAAUGGCAUAAGGAUGCUUGACUGCGAGACUGACACGUCGAGCAGGUGCGAAAGCAGGACAUAGUGAUCCGGUGGUUCUGUAUGGAAGGGCCAUCGCUCAACGGAUAAAAGGUACGCCGGGGAUAACAGGCUGAUACCGCCCAAGAGUUCAUAUCGACGGCGGUGUUUGGCACCUCGAUGUCGGCUCAUCACAUCCUGGGGCUGUAGCCGGUCCCAAGGGUAUGGCUGUUCGCCAUUUAAAGUGGUACGUGAGCUGGGUUCAAAACGUCGUGAGACAGUUUGGUCCCUAUCUACCGUGGGCGCUGGAAGUUUGAGGGGGGCUGCUUCUAGUACGAGAGGACCGAAGUGGACGCACCUCUGGUGUACCGGUUGUCACGCCAGUGGCAUAGCCGGGUAGCUAUGUGCGGAAAAGAUAAUCGCUGAAAGCAUCUAAGCGAGAAACUUGCCUCAAGAUAAGACUUCCCUGGAGACUUGAUCUCCCUAAAGGGUCGUUGCAGACUACAACGUUGAUAGGCUGGGUGUGUAAGCGCAGUAAUGCGUUGAGCUAACCAGUACUAAUUGCCCGUGAGGCUUGAUCCU
This 1260-nucleotide ribosomal RNA is filed under the name metagenome. Its description in RNAcentral is "bacterial LSU rRNA". It matches the Rfam family "Bacterial large subunit ribosomal RNA", at positions 1678 to 2925 of the family's 2925-position model. The record is from RNAcentral.